AGUCGAUGAAGGACGGGACUAACGCCGAUAUGCGUCGGGGAGCUGUAAGUAAGCUUUGAUCCGAAGAUUUCCGAAUGGGGAAACCCACCAUACGUAAUGGUAUGGUAUCCUUAUCUGAAUACAUAGGGUAAGGAAGACAGACCCAGGGAACUGAAACAUCUAAGUACCUGGAGGAAGAGAAAGCAAAUGCGAUUUCCUGAGUAGCGGCGAGCGAAACGGAACAUAGCCCAAACCAAGAGGCUUGCCUCUUGGGGUUGUAGGACAUUCUAUACGGAGUUACAAAGGAACGAGGUAGACGAAGCGACCUGGAAAGGUCCGUCGUAGAGGGUAACAACCCCGUAGUCGAAACUUCGUUCUCUCUUGAAUGUAUCCUGAGUACGGCGGAACACGUGAAAUUCCGUCGGAAUCUGGGAGGACCAUCUCCCAAGGCUAAAUACUCCCUAGUGAUCGAUAGUGAACCAGUACCGUGAGGGAAAGGUGAAAAGCACCCCGGAAGGGGAGUGAAAGAGAUCCUGAAACCGUGUGCCUACAAAUAGUCAGAGCCCGUUAA
This 550-nucleotide ribosomal RNA is filed under the name Bacillus anthracis (anthrax bacterium). Its description in RNAcentral is "bacterial LSU rRNA". It matches the Rfam family "Bacterial large subunit ribosomal RNA", at positions 44 to 587 of the family's 2925-position model. The record is from RNAcentral. Lineage: Bacteria; Bacillati; Bacillota; Bacilli; Caryophanales; Bacillaceae.